CCAGGAUCCUUACCAAUGCGACUGGUAUUCCCCUGCACUAGGGAGCAAUGUCAUCACCACUAUGAUGAUCUGCACUACAGAAAAAGGAAUACCCUUGAUUGCUGGAUCAGGGAGUGUCAGGCAGGGCACACCGCAGACAUGUGCAUCUGCUGAAGAGUGGUCCUCAAAUGUGAGGUCCCAUGCCACCAGACUGGCCAGGAUACAACAAGCAUGUGGUUUGCACAUUCAGUGCCCUGUCAGUAUCAGCUGUGGGAAAAACUCCAAAAAGCCAUGACAAACUGUUGAAAUUAAAAGCUGGAAGAUGUGAAGCCCAAAUGCAAAAACCACCGCCAAAUUUAAAAACACGAAACUCUUUAAUGUAAGCGCUUUCGGAAGAAAUGGUAUUCUUCCUUCUUCAGACAAACAACUUUACAAACAUAACGGUCUUUAAAUAAACUUUCAAGUCAUGUGAUCAGA
This is a long non-coding RNA of Protopterus annectens (West African lungfish), 456 nucleotides long. RefSeq lists it as uncharacterized. Lineage: Eukaryota; Metazoa; Chordata; Ceratodontiformes; Protopteridae. The record is from RefSeq and is a predicted model, not a curated record. The transcript has 3 exons.